UUUCAUUCAGAAUUUGGAAUGGAAGUCUUGAAUUACCUAUCCCUCAAUCUUUGUAUCAUAUUUUAGGCAGGCGCCGAAACCAGGGGAGAGGCUGGGAGAUGGCUGAAUUUGUUGCGUCUAGCACCCUGAAGUUUGAUACCGACUUUGAUUUUGAUUCCGCAAAUGCACAAUUCAUUAAGAUGAUGCUGGAACGUGAGAUGCAGGACUGGUUGAAUAGAAAAGGUUGGUGGCAAUGUCAAGUAGAAAAUGCCUGCGCCGGAGCAGAUUUAUUUUGAAAAUAAUCAUAGGAGUAUGGAAUUAAGUCUUAAAGCAGUUACCCAGUUCCAGGGUUGUUUCCCUGAUACGUUUCUAUAACUAAUUCAGAGGGGAAGGAAAAGGCUGAGCAGGAUUCCCCAACCGAUAAAAAUCUGGAGGAUCCUAUUGGCCCAAAGUGCUACUAUGACAAGGGAAAGUCUUUCUAUGACAAGCUGUCAUCAGAUAAUGACCUCAGGUAACCAUAAUAGUCCACUCAUUUCAGAUCAUCCAACAUAUUAUGGGCCUGGCUUUCCUUUUUAGGGCUACUGUGUCUUGCCCUCCUGUUUGUAUUAUAUCAAUCUGAAAUGAUUCAGGCAGUCCUGGGCAGAGGAGCGCAGGAGGAACAUCGAGACAUUUGGAGUUCCACGUCUGUUCCCCCGGGGACGAGGAUUCCGAGGUGGAUACCGUGGGCCAAGGGAACCGAUGUUUCAAUAUCGCCGAGGCGGGAACAAAUUGCUAUAAGAUUCAGUGUCAAUCCGGCAACGUGUGAAGUCUCUAGCUGGUCCAGUGAAUCACUUGAUAACAUUAAAGGAUGAUAAGCAUGUUUACCUUGUCAGCAUUUAUGAUCAAAUCAUUCUUUGUAAAUAUUGCUAUCUAUAAAAUCAUAUACUUAUUCAAAUAUUUGCCCUAUAUUGUUCUCUAAGAUUCCUACAUUUAAACAUGAAUCAAUGCAUGAAAUUAAACUAUAACCUACGCCUAUGUUUUUCUGGGUAAGUAUUAUACAUAAACUGAAUCAAGAACCCUUCACCCUUAAAAAUGGUGUCUUUUAUUGUUGGGGCCAUAAAGUAAGCUGAGGAGGGG
RNAcentral lists this long non-coding RNA (1095 nucleotides) under Gadus morhua (Atlantic cod). Its description in RNAcentral is "lncRNA (ENSGMOG00000027254.1)". The record is from RNAcentral. Lineage: Eukaryota; Metazoa; Chordata; Actinopteri; Gadiformes; Gadidae.